Molecule: non-coding RNA, 456 nt
Organism: Camelina sativa (false flax)
Lineage: Eukaryota; Viridiplantae; Streptophyta; Magnoliopsida; Brassicales; Brassicaceae
Source: RefSeq, a predicted model, not a curated record
UUCGGGAAGUUAACACAUUAAAACAUUCUUCUAUUGGUUAUUUUGCAGUGGCAUUGCUGUGUCAAUGGUGAUGAAGUAUGCAGACAAUAUUGUAAAGGUUUAUUCGACAUCAGUGGCGAUGCUUCUCACCGCGGUUGUCUCUGUAUUCCUCUUCAAUUUCCAUCUUUCCCUUGCCUUCUUCUUGGGUUCAACGGUCGUCUCUGUUUCAGUAUAUUUGCAUUCCGCAGGGAAGCUACGAUAGUAAAGAUCUCGAAACUUACAUCUACCAAGAAAAUUGCCAUUAUUCUAGUACAGAGAUGAAGCUUUUUAACGAUUACGAUUUUGUUUUUCGUGUAGGUAAUAUUCACAAUUGUGCUUAUGUAUUUGAUUUAUUUCCCGUCACGAAACUUACUGUUCUCAUUUGUACGAAACCAAAAAUUAUCAAGAAUAGUAAAAAUUUCAGAAAUUAUAUGCGUA